Molecule: ribosomal RNA, 428 nt
Filed under: uncultured bacterium
Lineage: Bacteria
Description: partial 16S ribosomal RNA
Rfam family: Bacterial small subunit ribosomal RNA
Source: RNAcentral
GUGGGGAAUAUUGGGCAAUGGGCGAAAGCCUGACCCAGCAACGCCGCGUGAGGGAAGAAGGCUUUCGGGUUGUAAACCUCUGUCGCAGGGGACGAAAGAAAUGACGGUACCCUGUGAGGAAGCCCCGGCUAACUACGUGCCAGCAGCCGCGGUAAUACGUAGGGGGCGAGCGUUGUCCGGAAUUACUGGGCGUAAAGGGUGCGUAGGCGGCGAAUUAAGUUGGAUGUGAAAUCCCCGGGCUUAACCUGGGUGGUGCAUCCAAAACUGAUUAGCUAGAGUGCAGGAGAGGGAAGCGGAAUUCCUAGUGUAGCGGUGAAAUGCGUAGAUAUUAGGAGGAACACCAGUGGCGAAGGCGGCUCACUGGCUCGAUACUGACGCUGAGGUGCGAAAGCGUGGGGAGCAAACAGGAUUAGAAACCCUGGUAGUCC